UAUGGCACUAUAGAAUUCACUG
Molecule: microRNA, 22 nt
Filed under: Strongylocentrotus purpuratus (purple sea urchin)
Lineage: Eukaryota; Metazoa; Echinodermata; Echinoidea; Camarodonta; Strongylocentrotidae
Also listed under: 1 other name
Description: spu-miR-183
Gene: spu-miR-183
Source: miRBase by way of RNAcentral